RNAcentral lists this transfer RNA (81 nucleotides) under Felis catus (domestic cat). It matches the Rfam family "tRNA". Rfam says of the family: Transfer RNA (tRNA) molecules are approximately 80 nucleotides in length. Their secondary structure includes four short double-helical elements and three loops (D, anti-codon, and T loops). Further hydrogen bonds mediate the characteristic L-shaped molecular structure. tRNAs have two regions of fundamental functional importance: the anti-codon, which is responsible for specific mRNA codon recognition, and the 3' end, to which the tRNAs corresponding amino acid is attached (by aminoacyl-tRNA synthetases). tRNAs cope with the degeneracy of the genetic code in two manners: having more than one tRNA (with a specific anti-codon) for a particular amino acid; and 'wobble' base-pairing, i.e. permitting non-standard base-pairing at the 3rd anti-codon position. Lineage: Eukaryota; Metazoa; Chordata; Mammalia; Carnivora; Felidae. The record is from Rfam by way of RNAcentral.
GCCUGGGUAGCUCAGUUAAGCACCUGACUUUGGCUCAGGUCAUGAUCUCACAGUUUGUGGGUUCAAGCCCCGCAUCAGGCU